Molecule: ribosomal RNA, 526 nt
Filed under: uncultured bacterium
Lineage: Bacteria
Description: bacterial SSU rRNA
Rfam family: Bacterial small subunit ribosomal RNA
Source: RNAcentral
ACAUCCAGCGAACUUGGCAGAGAUGCCUUGGUGCCUUCGGGAACGCUGAGACAGGUGCUGCAUGGCUGUCGUCAGCUCGUGUUGUGAAAUGUUGGGUUAAGUCCCGCAACGAGCGCAACCCUUAUCCUUUGUUGCCAGCGAUUCGGUCGGGAAACUCAAAGGAGACUGCCGGUGAUAAACCGGAGGAAGGUGGGGAUGACGUCAAGUCAUCAUGGCCCUUACGAGUAGGGCUACACACGUGCUACAAUGGCGCAUACAAAGAGAAGCGACCUCGCGAGAGCAAGCGGACCUCAUAAAGUGCGUCGUAGUCCGGAUCGGAGUCUGCAACUCGACUCCGUGAAGUCGGAAUCGCUAGUAAUCGUGGAUCAGAAUGCCACGGUGAAUACGUUCCCGGGCCUUGUACACACCGCCCGUCACACCAUGGGAGUGGGUUGCAAAAGAAGUAGGUAGCUUAACCUUCGGGAGGGCGCUUACCACUUUGUGAUUCAUGACUGGGGUGAAGUCGUAACAAGGUAAGCGUAGCGAG